GGGUUGUGAGGUUAAGCGACUAAGCGUACACGGUGGAUGCCCUGGCAGUCAGAGGCGAUGAAGGACGUGCUAAUCUGCGAUAAGCGUCGGUAAGGUGAUAUGAACCGUUAUAACCGGCGAUUUCCGAAUGGGGAAACCCAGUGUGUUUCGACACACUAUCAUUAACUGAAUCCAUAGGUUAAUGAGGCGAACCGGGGGAACUGAAACAUCUAAGUACCCCGAGGAAAAGAAAUCAACCGAGAUUCCCCCAGUAGCGGCGAGCGAACGGGGAGCAGCCCAGAGCCUGAAUCAGUGUGUGUGUUAGUGGAAGCGUCUGGAAAGGCGCGCGAUACAGGGUGACAGCCCCGUACACAAAAAUGCACAUGCUGUGAGCUCGAUGAGUAGGGCGGGACACGUGGUAUCCUGUCUGAAUAUGGGGGGACCAUCCUCCAAGGCUAAAUACUCCUGACUGACCGAUAGUGAACCAGUACCGUGAGGGAAAGGCGAAAAGAACCCCGGCGAGGGGAGUGAAAAAGAACCUGAAACCGUGUACGUACAAGCAGUGGGAGCACGCUUAGGCGUGUGACUGCGUACCUUUUGUAUAAUGGGUCAGCGACUUAUAUUCUGUAGCAAGGUUAACCGAAUAGGGGAGCCGAAGGGAAACCGAGUCUUAACUGGGCGUUAAGUUGCAGGGUAUAGACCCGAAACCCGGUGAUCUAGCCAUGGGCAGGUUGAAGGUUGGGUAACACUAACUGGAGGACCGAACCGACUAAUGUUGAAAAAUUAGCGGAUGACUUGUGGCUGGGGGUGAAAGGCCAAUCAAACCGGGAGAUAGCUGGUUCUCCCCGAAAGCUAUUUAGGUAGCGCCUCGUGAAUUCAUCUCCGGGGGUAGAGCACUGUUUCGGCAAGGGGGUCAUCCCGACUUACCAACCCGAUGCAAACUGCGAAUACCGGAGAAUGUUAUCACGGGAGACACACGGCGGGUGCUAACGUCCGUCGUGAAGAGGGAAACAACCCAGACCGCCAGCUAAGGUCCCAAAGUCAUGGUUAAGUGGGAAACGAUGUGGGAAGGCCCAGACAGCCAGGAUGUUGGCUUAGAAGCAGCCAUCAUUUAAAGAAAGCGUAAUAGCUCACUGGUCGAGUCGGCCUGCGCGGAAGAUGUAACGGGGCUAAACCAUGCACCGAAGCUGCGGCAGCGACACUAUGUGUUGUUGGGUAGGGGAGCGUUCUGUAAGCCUGUGAAGGUGUGCUGUGAGGCAUGCUGGAGGUAUCAGAAGUGCGAAUGCUGACAUAAGUAACGAUAAAGCGGGUGAAAAGCCCGCUCGCCGGAAGACCAAGGGUUCCUGUCCAACGUUAAUCGGGGCAGGGUGAGUCGACCCCUAAGGCGAGGCCGAAAGGCGUAGUCGAUGGGAAACAGGUUAAUAUUCCUGUACUUGGUGUUACUGCGAAGGGGGGACGGAGAAGGCUAUGUUGGCCGGGCGACGGUUGUCCCGGUUUAAGCGUGUAGGCUGGUUUUCCAGGCAAAUCCGGAAAAUCAAGGCUGAGGCGUGAUGACGAGGCACUACGGUGCUGAAGCAACAAAUGCCCUGCUUCCAGGAAAAGCCUCUAAGCAUCAGGUAACAUCAAAUCGUACCCCAAACCGACACAGGUGGUCAGGUAGAGAAUACCAAGGCGCUUGAGAGAACUCGGGUGAAGGAACUAGGCAAAAUGGUGCCGUAACUUCGGGAGAAGGCACGCUGAUAUGUAGGUGAAGCGACUUGCUCGUGGAGCUGAAAUCAGUCGAAGAUACCAGCUGGCUGCAACUGUUUAUUAAAAACACAGCACUGUGCAAACACGAAAGUGGACGUAUACGGUGUGACGCCUGCCCGGUGCCGGAAGGUUAAUUGAUGGGGUCAGCGCAAGCGAAGCUCUUGAUCGAAGCCCCGGUAAACGGCGGCCGUAACUAUAACGGUCCUAAGGUAGCGAAAUUCCUUGUCGGGUAAGUUCCGACCUGCACGAAUGGCGUAAUGAUGGCCAGGCUGUCUCCACCCGAGACUCAGUGAAAUUGAACUCGCUGUGAAGAUGCAGUGUACCCGCGGCAAGACGGAAAGACCCCGUGAACCUUUACUAUAGCUUGACACUGAACAUUGAGCCUUGAUGUGUAGGAUAGGUGGGAGGCUUUGAAGUGUGGACGCCAGUCUGCAUGGAGCCGACCUUGAAAUACCACCCUUUAAUGUUUGAUGUUCUAACGUUGACCCGUAAUCCGGGUUGCGGACAGUGUCUGGUGGGUAGUUUGACUGGGGCGGUCUCCUCCUAAAGAGUAACGGAGGAGCACGAAGGUUGGCUAAUCCUGGUCGGACAUCAGGAGGUUAGUGCAAUGGCAUAAGCCAGCUUGACUGCGAGCGUGACGGCGCGAGCAGGUGCGAAAGCAGGUCAUAGUGAUCCGGUGGUUCUGAAUGGAAGGGCCAUCGCUCAACGGAUAAAAGGUACUCCGGGGAUAACAGGCUGAUACCGCCCAAGAGUUCAUAUCGACGGCGGUGUUUGGCACCUCGAUGUCGGCUCAUCACAUCCUGGGGCUGAAGUAGGUCCCAAGGGUAUGGCUGUUCGCCAUUUAAAGUGGUACGCGAGCUGGGUUUAGAACGUCGUGAGACAGUUCGGUCCCUAUCUGCCGUGGGCGCUGGAGAACUGAGGGGGGCUGCUCCUAGUACGAGAGGACCGGAGUGGACGCAUCACUGGUGUUCGGGUUGUCAUGCCAAUGGCACUGCCCGGUAGCUAAAUGCGGAAGAGAUAAGUGCUGAAAGCAUCUAAGCACGAAACUUGCCCCGAGAUGAGUUCUCCCUGACUCCUUGAGAGUCCUGAAGGAACGUUGAAGACGACGACGUUGAUAGGCCGGGUGUGUAAGCGCAGCGAUGCGUUGAGCUAACCGGUACUAAUGAACCGUGAGGCUUAACCUUACAACGCCGAAGGUGUUU
RNAcentral lists this ribosomal RNA (2930 nucleotides) under Escherichia coli. Its description in RNAcentral is "bacterial LSU rRNA". It matches the Rfam family "Bacterial large subunit ribosomal RNA". The record is from RNAcentral. Lineage: Bacteria; Pseudomonadati; Pseudomonadota; Gammaproteobacteria; Enterobacterales; Enterobacteriaceae.